CCUACGGGAGGCAGCAGUGGGGAAUAUUGCACAAUGGGGGAAACCCUGAUGCAGCGACGCCGCGUGAGUGAAGAAGUAUCUCGGGAUGUAAAGCUCUAUUAGCAGGGAAGAAAAUGACGGUACCUGACCAAGAAGCCCCGGCUAACUAGGUGCCAGCAGCCGCGGUAAUACGUAGGGGGCAAGCGUUACCCGGUUUUACUGGGUGGAAAGGGAGCGGAGACGGCAGCACAAGUCUGGAGUGAAAUCCCGGGGGUUAACCCCGGAACUGCUUUGGAAACUGUGCGGCUGGAGUGCAGGAGGGGUAAGCGGAAUUCCUAGUGUAGCGGUGAAAGGCGUAGAUAUUAGGAGGAACACCGAUGGCGAAGGCAGCUUACUGGACUGUAACUGACGUUGAGGCGCGAAAGCAUGGGGAGCGAACAGGAUUAGAUACCCCAGUAGUC
Molecule: ribosomal RNA, 440 nt
Filed under: uncultured bacterium
Lineage: Bacteria
Description: partial 16S ribosomal RNA
Rfam family: Bacterial small subunit ribosomal RNA
Source: RNAcentral